UACGUAGGGGCGAAGCGUUAUCCGGAAUUACUGGGCGUAAAGGGUGCGCAGGCGGUUUAUCAAGUCAGGGUGAAAGGCUACGGCUCAAACCGUACGUGAGCCUCUGAAACUGGUGAACUUGAAUGUAGGAGAGGAAAGUGGAAUUCCCAGUGUAGCGGUGAAAUGCGUAGAUAUUGGGAGGAACACCAGUGGCGAAGGCGACUUUCUGGACUACAACUGACGCUGAGGCACGAAAAGCGUGGGGAGCAAACAGGAUUAGAUACCCGGGUAGU
RNAcentral lists this ribosomal RNA (272 nucleotides) under uncultured bacterium. RNAcentral's name for it is "partial 16S ribosomal RNA". It matches the Rfam family "Bacterial small subunit ribosomal RNA", at positions 524 to 794 of the family's 1533-position model. The record is from RNAcentral.